AGAGUGAACGCUGGCGGUAGGCCUAACACAUGCAAGUCGAACGGCAGCACAGUAGGAGCUUGCUCUUACGGGUGGCGAGUGGCGGACGGGUGAGGAAUACAUCGGAAUCUACCUUUUGGUGGGGGAUAACGUAGGGAAACUUACGCUAAUACCGCAUACGCCCUUCGGGGGAAAGCCGGGGACCAGCAAUGGCCUGGCGCUGAUAGAUGAGCCGAUGUCGGAUUAGGUAGUUGGUGAGGUAAAGGCUCACCAAGCCUUCGAUCUGUAGCUGGUCUGAGAGGACGACCAGCCACACUGGGACUGAGACACGGCCCAGACUCCUACGGGAGCAGCAGUGGGAAUUUGGACAAUGGGCAAAGCCUGAUCCAGCCAUGCCGCGUGCAGGAUGAAGGCCUUCGGUGUAAACUGACUUUUGUACGGAACGAAAGUCUACUUUACUAAUAAGAGGAUCAUGACGUACGUAAGAAUAAGCACCGACUAAC
RNAcentral lists this ribosomal RNA (482 nucleotides) under uncultured soil bacterium. RNAcentral's name for it is "bacterial SSU rRNA". It matches the Rfam family "Bacterial small subunit ribosomal RNA", at positions 26 to 501 of the family's 1533-position model. The record is from RNAcentral.